Molecule: ribosomal RNA, 483 nt
Filed under: uncultured bacterium
Lineage: Bacteria
Description: partial 16S ribosomal RNA
Rfam family: Bacterial small subunit ribosomal RNA
Source: RNAcentral
AUUGAACGCUGGCGGCAUGCUUUACACAUGCAAGUCGAACGGCAGCGCGGGCUUCGGCCUGGCGGCGAGUGGCGAACGGGUGAGUAAUGCAUCGGAACGUGCCCAGUAGUGGGGAUAGCCCGGCGAAAGCCGGAUUAAUACCGCAUACGACCUGAGGGUGAAAGCGGGGGACCGAAAGGCCUCGCGCUAUUGGAGCGGCCGAUGUCGGAUUAGCUAGUUGGUGGGGUAAAGGCUUACCAAGGCGACGAUCCGUAGCUGGUCUGAGAGGACGACCAGCCACACUGGGACUGAGACACGGCCCAGACUCCUACGGGAGGCAGCAGUGGGGAAUUUUGGACAACGGGGGCAACCCUGAUCCAGCCAUGCCGCGUGCGGGAAGAAGGCCUUCGGGUUGUAAACCGCUUUUGUUCGGGAAGAAAUCCUCUGGGCUAAUACCCCGGGGGGAUGACGGUACCGGAAGAAUAAGCACCGGCUAACUACGUG